CCCCUAGAUGUUCUGGGCCGCACGCGCGCUACACUGAACAGUUCAACAAGUCUUAACCUUGGCCGAUAGGUCUGGGUAAUCUUUGAACGCUGUUCGUGAUUGGGAUAGACCUUUGCAAUUAUGGGUCUUCAACGAGGAAUUCCUAGUAAACGCAAGUUAUCAGCUUGCAUUGAUUACGUCCCUGCCCUUUGUACACACCGCCCGUCGCACCUACCGAUUGAAUGGUCCGGUGAAAUCUCGGGACGGCGGCUUGGUCGCUUGCGUCCGACUGCUGAAACUUGAUUAAACCAUAUCAUUUAGAGGAAGGUGAAGUCGUAACA
This 320-nucleotide ribosomal RNA is filed under the name uncultured eukaryote. Its description in RNAcentral is "partial 18S ribosomal RNA". It matches the Rfam family "Eukaryotic small subunit ribosomal RNA", at positions 1470 to 1796 of the family's 1831-position model. The record is from RNAcentral.